UCGUCAGUGAGGUACAUCCUUACCUGUUACUUCAGAAAUGGAGUUGCAGAACAUGAUGAAUGGACUAUAUGACAUGGUGAUUAUUAUGUCUAGAGCAUAAAGGACUGCAACACCCUUAUGCUCCCAUUCUGAU
Small nucleolar RNA from Anguilla rostrata (American eel), 133 nucleotides. RefSeq annotates it as U8 small nucleolar RNA. Lineage: Eukaryota; Metazoa; Chordata; Actinopteri; Anguilliformes; Anguillidae. The record is from RefSeq and is a predicted model, not a curated record. The transcript has a single exon.